UCACACUCCUAUUUUGUACCUUUACAAGCCAAAUGGGCCAUUCUCUUCCAAUUUCUUUGAUGUUAAGGUCCUUAAGGAGGCCUUAAAACAAGUCCUUGUGCUAUAUUACCCUAUGGCUGGGGGGUUGAGAAANGGCUGGGAGAUUGAGAAAGCAUGAUAAUGGCAAGACUGAAAUAAACUGCAAUGGAGAGGGAGUACUAUUCAUAGAAGCUCAAGCAAAUUCUGCUAUGGUUGACAUUAAUGACUUCACGC
This 252-nucleotide unclassified non-coding RNA is filed under the name Hevea brasiliensis (rubber tree). The record is from RNAcentral. Lineage: Eukaryota; Viridiplantae; Streptophyta; Magnoliopsida; Malpighiales; Euphorbiaceae.